AGGCCACUGCUAUCAGAGUUCGAUUAAGCCAUGCGAGUCGAGAGGUGCAAGACCUCGGCAUACUGCUCAGUAACACGUGGACAACCUAACCUACGGAAGGGGAUAACCCCGGGAAACUGGGGAUAAUACCCUAUAGACUAUGGAUGCUGGAAUGCUCUGUAGCCGAAAGGUCAGCCGCCGUAGGAUGGGUCUGCGGCCGAUUAGGUUGUUGUUGGGGUAACGGCCCAACAAGCCUGUAAUCGGUACGGGUUGUGGGAGCAAGAGCCCGGAGAUGGAUUCUGAGACACGAAUCCAGGCCCUACGGGGCGCAGCAGGCGCGAAAACUUUGCAAUGCGGGAAACCGUGACAAGGGAACUCUGAGUGCCCGUAAAAUCGGGCUGUCCAUCGGUUUAAAUAACCGGUGAAGAAAGGGCCGGGCAAGACCGGUGCCAGCCGCCGCGGUAAUACCGGCGGCUCGAGUGGUGGCCACUAUUACUGGGCUUAAAGCGUUCGUAGCUGGUUUGUUAAGUCUCUGGGGAAAUCUUCCGGCUUAACCGGAAGGCGUCUCAGGGAUACUGGCAGACUAGGGACCGGGAGAGGUGAGAGGUACUCCAGGGGUAGGAGUGAAAUCCUGUAAUCCUUGGGGGACCACCUGUGGCGAAGGCGUCUCACCAGAACGGCUCCGACAGUGAGGGACGAAAGCUGGGGGAGCAAACCGGAUUAGAUACCCGGGUAGUCCCAGCCGUAAACGAUGUGCGUUAGGUGUAUCGGUGACCACGAGUCACCGAGGUGCCGAAGAGAAAUCGUGAAACGUACCGCCUGGGAAGUACGGUCGCAAGGCUGAAACUUAAAGGAAU
This 836-nucleotide ribosomal RNA is filed under the name uncultured euryarchaeote. RNAcentral describes it as "bacterial SSU rRNA". It matches the Rfam family "Archaeal small subunit ribosomal RNA", at positions 21 to 865 of the family's 1478-position model. Lineage: Archaea; Methanobacteriati; Methanobacteriota. The record is from RNAcentral.